Molecule: unclassified non-coding RNA, 321 nt
Filed under: Agrocybe pediades
Lineage: Eukaryota; Fungi; Basidiomycota; Agaricomycetes; Agaricales; Agrocybaceae
Description: partial internal transcribed spacer region
Rfam family: Eukaryotic small subunit ribosomal RNA (bases 1-46)
Source: RNAcentral
AAGUCGUAACAAGGUUUCCGUAGGUGAACCUGCGGAAGGAUCAUUAUUGAAUAAACCUGGCGUGGUUGUAGCUGGUCCUCUCGGGGACAUGUGCUCGCCCGUCAUCUUUAUAUCUCCACCUGUGCACCCUUUGUAGACCUGGACGAUAACUUUCCGAGGCAACUCGGUCGGGAGGACUGCUGGCUUUCACGAGUCGGCUUUCCUUGUAUUAUCCAGGCCUAUGUCUUUACACAUACCCCAAAGAAUGUAACAGAAUGUAUUGUAUAUGGCCUAGUGCCUAUAAACUAUAUACAACUUUCAGCAACGGAUCUCUUGGCUCUC